RNAcentral lists this transfer RNA (84 nucleotides) under Thermoplasmatales archaeon SCGC AB-540-F20. It matches the Rfam family "tRNA". Rfam says of the family: Transfer RNA (tRNA) molecules are approximately 80 nucleotides in length. Their secondary structure includes four short double-helical elements and three loops (D, anti-codon, and T loops). Lineage: Archaea; Methanobacteriati; Thermoplasmatota; Thermoplasmata; Thermoplasmatales. The record is from Rfam by way of RNAcentral.
GCCGAGGUGGCCCAGCCCGGUACGGCGCGAGCUUGGAGAGCUCGUGGUGCUUUGCGCUCGGGAGUUCGAAUCUCCCCCUCGGCG